CAGCAAACAUCAGAGCUCUCGCUGAAAGCAUUAAAUGUGUUUAUAGUCAGCGAGAGGAACAAAGUGUAAGCCCGGACUGCUUGCACACCUGCAAUGCAUGGGAAGAUGUUCUCUGUUGCUUCCAGACUCGUAGGCAGAGUGGGUUUCUCCAAGUCCGUCAGAACUUGUGUGUGAAGGAGUACCUCCCGCAGUAUGUCCUAAAAGCUCUAUGGCUAGCCUGAGAUGAAGGACUGGUGGCAACGGAGUGGGAGUGAUUUCCUUUCGUGAACCAGUGCUGAUCUGAAGUGGAAACUAUCGGGGGUUCAGGCUGUGGAGCUAGAGGUUUAAUCUUCUAGGGCUAAAUCAACGGAUCAGAGACCAGAGCCUGACCCUACUGUUCGUGCUGCUACCCUGCGAUGGGUGGCUGAGUUUGAAAAUAUCCCUUUAAUGCCUGGUAAAUGAAUGUCUACAUUGAACAAGCAAGCAAUGCCACGCUUGCCAGCCUUGAGAGAGAAGCUCGUGGGAUGAGUGGGCACAAGUUUCAAGUAAUCCCUCUCUCAAAAACAAUCUGUCUCGAGUCAAUGGUGAGCAGCGUCAGGAUGGGGUAAGCAAUCCGUGUUGCUGCUUCUGCUGCAUUGUUUGUGGAUAAACAAAGGCAUUUAGGUAACCAGACAUAUAAUUCCAGCCCUUUUUAAUAAGCCUCAGUUACACACACAGAGCAUCCUGAUGCAGGUAUGGAAGCUUGGAGCUUAGCUGGUUUGCUUGCCAGCUUUAAAUAUCAGUUAUGUUAUUUUGGAUACCAGUGGUGUUAGACUACAAGUCUAAUCUCUUCUUUGUCAGGGUCUCACUUUUUAUUUAGAUUUUAAAACUGUAUUCAAAUGAGGUUUUGACCGAAACUGAAUCACUAUGUACUUGAAAGCUAAAGAGCUUAUCAGGCAUCUGAUAAUGUUUUCAGGAUUUCCCCAGAUUAGACCGCGGAGUGUACAGACAGGAAGCUGAAGUAUUGAGCGCCUGACCAGAGCUUCCUCCAGUGCAGGAGUGGGGGUUUCUCUGACUUGAAUCUGUAGCUCUGCAUGCAUGGUCUGAGCCUUGAAGUCCAAAGGAUAAAAAGCACCCAAAUCUCCUAGCUGAGUCCUCCGAGCAUGGAGAAUGGAGCACUGCUCUUAAGGCCCGCUUGCAAGGUCAGCAAAACAGUUCUCACCUCUCCCUGCUGUUGCGUUACCUUCCUGGCUCUUUAUCAAGCAGGGAAUCAGAAAGGGACUUUCCAGAGCUAUAAACAUAUGAGCUGAAGAGAUGGGAUGAACCCUUAUGCAAAUGAGUCUUGAUUCCCUUCCCUUUAUAAAGUUAAAAUGUUUUUGAGAGAGCAACAGAUCAUCCAGAAUGUGGGUGUCCGAGGUUAUUGCCUUGGAGUGGCUGUAUCUCUCUCCUUGCUGUCUGUCUGCCUUUUUUUUCUGCCUGUCUGUCUUUCCAUUGUAGAGAACAAAGCGGAGUGAUGUAAAAUAGAAAAUGAGAAAUGCAAACCUGUGGUGAUUGAAGAAGAGGAAGGAAAAUGAAAGAGAAAAAGCUGAAGAGUGGGAAAAAGAUAAAAUAAAAUGAAUUUUGGGGAUUCCACUUGGAUGAACACAUGGCUAAUUGCCAGAGCCAAGAGUGCAGACCAUUAUGAGGACCAGCUAUAUUUCACGUUCAUCUGGGAGAAUGCUGAGAUUUUAUUUUCUGUGGGAAAUGGCGAUGAAAAAAUGAAUUGUUUUGAUGAUAAAAAUGUAUCCUUUUGUGUGUUUUUACUGGUCAGAUCGAACACAUUAUCCAGCUUUUCCCACAAUUACAAAAGAAAAGACAAAAGUAAUCUUUUAUUAUCAAAAUAGAUUUUGUGGAAGAAAUUUUUGAACAAAUUCCCUAGCGUCAUGAGCAAUGCUGCAGCUACUCUCUUUGCUGCAGUGUUUCAGGUAUCAGUCCUCCAUCUCAAUUUGCUUCAGGUGCUCAGAGCAGUUUUGUGUUGGACAGCAGAGCCCAGAGCUUCAGAGGAGCAGGAUGUGAGGACUGCUGGGACAGCAGAACAAGGCUGCAGUGGGCAUAUUUUGCCAGGACAGAGGUCUCAAAUGUGUCUGUGGUGGCCCAGAGCCUUCGUGGGGGGAUUCAUUAAGCAGAAGUCUGGAAAAUGGAGCUGCUAAAAACUGUUUCAAAGCUGCAUAUGGGAUUAGGAGGCUUUGAUCAUGCUGGAUAUCCAAGACUCCACUGGCAACUGGAGCGAUCGCAUGUAAAGUCUGUGUACACAUCAAAGAAUGUCUUUACUUUUCACUGUAAUCCUUUGUAGUAGUCAACAUACUUGACUAAAUAUUCGAGAGAUGAUUAUGCUGAAUCUGAAUGGCACCUAAAAUUAUUUUCUUUAAAACCAGCUCUGGUGAGCUCAAGGGGAGCCAGCCUUAAAAUUCUGGUGAGCCGGCAAGCAUAUCCCAGAGGAGGGCAGCUUGGCUCCCCAGAGGCUGUCUGUAUCAGUGGUUCUCAGCCUUUUCUAAGGGAGCCUUUCUGAAAAAAACACUCCUGGACCAUUUCCCAUGGCCAACAAGGAGCCGUCUGCACCUGCAGGCAGUCAGUGGCAGCAUCCAGAAACCGGCUCCCGGCUCUGUCUGCCAGCACUGGUGCCUCUGCCAGCAGGCUGGGAAUAGAUGUGUUUUUUAUUUAUUUUUUUUUAAUCUUCUAAAUGAGCUCGUUCACAGAGCAGUUCCUGGUGUCUGACAGAAAGCGGUGGUCUGCAGCCCACAGGCUGCUUAACAGAUCUACCUAGCUCGCAGUGGCUAGGGUGCCUUCACCGGGUGGUCAUGCAGUGCUCUCAGGCGAUUUUAUUAACUCUUGUGCACCUUUCUCUGAAAUAACUGUUGCCAGUUUCCCCAGUAGUUGAGCUGUUUCAUUAUUCUAAUAUUAUACUAGUUGAUUUCAGUGAAUUAAUAUCAAAAUGGGCUAUGAAUGAAUUGAAAGCAUGUUUCCUCUUCAUAGACUACUUUAUUUUCGGUAACUAUGGUAUAGUUACAAUAGGAAAUAUAAAUACAGCAAUCUUUUAUAUUUCAAGCAUUUAUAUGUUGAACCUGUUUUAAGCAAAAAUUAUCUCUGGCCUCUAAUGGAUUGCUAACAUUAUAAUUAUUUAUUAUAAUGUGCUUUUCCGAAUAAAAUUCUUGCUGGAUGAUCAUCACAUUCCUUUUUGAAAUAAUGGGAGGGUUACUAAAAAGUUGAUUAAUGCUUGCCUGUUUUUUGACUGUUUGUACAGAGCCUAAUCAUUUUGGGUUAGUAAUAUAUAGCAUAGUAGUUAUGCAGUGACAAAGAUCUGUGCAAUUUCAACGGUUGAAUCAUUGCCAGUUCUUUUUAUUAAAAAUGUGGCAACUGGAAGGAAGCGAGCAAUGGCCAUCUACUCUUUCCUGUUUACUUUUUCCCCUCUUCCUAUAUUUUUGGAUGUUUACAUGACGUCUGAAGUGUAUGGCUUGACCAGUCAUUUCAAGCUCUCGGUUCCACUACAUUUAUCAGGAAUUGGUUCAGCAGAGCAGUUCAUAGUACCACCCUGCAUUUUCACGUGUUGGGAGACAGCAUGUGUGUCACUUCCAGUGUCUGCGACGUGUGUGUGCAGUGGUCAGAUAUCCGAACUGAGGAAGAAAGUGUUGCUGGAUUUGGGAACAACUCCACAUUCAAAGAGAGCAGCUCCAUGGGCAGUGUGAAUGAUGGAAGAAAACCCGGCCAGUGUAGAAAAGGCCUGAUUGCUGUGGUGCCUGUCCUGUAACCUGAGAGGAGCCCAGCACAUCGUGCACCUCCUAUGAAGCAGGCAUGUGGGGAAGAAAUCAGAAUUACCACGGGAAGCAGGGAGUCAGGGGAUGCUUCCUCUACGUGAAAGUUCAGGGGUUGAAGAGUUUCUAUGUGUCUGCCUGAAAUAUACUAUGCUCACCAGUCAUGAGAUGAUGGUUCUUGGAAAAGCUUACCAGCUCCUGCUGGGACAAUAUCCAUUAAACAAGCAGAGGGAGAAACGCACAAAGAAAAGGAGAAUUUUGAAGUCUCAUUUCUGCCAUCUUCCCUGUCAGGAAGAGGAAAUGAAAUUGGAGGUCACAGUUAGCAGAAUCUGCAAAAGAUGAGAGAGCGAGGCAGCAGCUGCACAGAACUCAAAGCAGGCAGCGUGGUGGACGUUAGGCAGCUGCAGGCACAAAACUGCAUCGGCUUCCCCCGCUGCAAAGCCCAGCCUCCAGGCAGUGAUGCAGCAGAGACGAUGUGUAUGUGAUGGCAACCUCGCAAGGCCCCUGCUGAAAUCAAGAUGGUCUUUGGUACAGGAGUUUUGCAGUUCUCUCUCUCCAAGGGCAGUCCUCAAAACACAGUGUUUGAAGCUGCUGGUUUGCUGCUGGAAGACACCUGAGGUGGACAGGCACGCUCCUCAGUUUGGUCCAUUAUGCAGACUUGUGUUUCGGCACCUUUUUUUCAUACCACCGGGCAUAUUCCUGACCCACACAGUGAAAUGUGCUUUUUUUGGAAAUGUCUCACAAUAGGUAAUGAUGAGCCAGCUGAGGAGGUGUUCUCAAGGUAUUCAAACAGGAUUUUUGUGUUUCUUUAUACUAAUCUGUAUAAGAAGAGUUGAAUCGAUCACGUCUCACAAUGCAUCUAAGAGAAAACAUCCAAGAGAUGGGAAAUGUUCAACACCCUGCAGCUCUCCCACUCUGCAUUUCAGGUGACUGGCAUUGUCUCCAUGCUCCUCCCUGCACAAUGAGCAUCCAGUGUCUGAUCCACAUGCCACAUCUAUUGCUGUUAUCAGAAGAGAUGGGACCAGGACACUGACGAAUAUAUGCCUAUUAGAUAGGUAGGGCUCUAGAUGGGGAAUUGCAUGACUGUGAAAGAGAUUAAAUGAUGAAACUUUGCAGUCCAUUGACUGUACUAAAGCAACCAUGCUUUGCUUGGGGUUGUGAAGUGCUAAUGGAGGCUGAAAAAGCUGCCAAAGGGUCUGAAAUUAUAUCUGUAUUGUGAGGAGAAACUUCUGGUUCUAUAAGAAAUCAGAAGGAUCAAAAAAAAAAAAAAAAAAAAAAGGGUGCAUUCUUAAGGAAUCAUCUACUCCUCUAGACCAUGCAAUAUGCUCCAAGGCAUUAACAGACACAAAGGCGAUGCAGGGCUUGGGUUUGGGGCUGGAUCUAGGCUUUAGCAGUUCUGCGAUGUACCAUUUCCUUGUCUCAGUACACCUACAUCUCACAGGAGUUGCACAGCCCUGCGUGUGUGGAGGUGAACUCAAAGGGAUGAGCUGUGUGCGCUCAGCCCUGCUGAGCACCAACAGGGUCUGUUACAGACCAGCACAACACAGAAGAGGCUGGAGGCACAGGGCCGCAGGGAUGUCAUCCAGUCACAUCCAUCCUCUCUUCCACUGGAUCUUGUGCUAAGAAUAACUUGGCCAGCCCUGAGGAUUAAAGCUCUUUGCAUUUUCUGGAAAUUGCCAUGUGCAGCAUGUAGGCAUACGGGACCUCAUUGCCCUGUCAUCCGUAUGCUGUGGGUAUGGCAGGAUUAAUGCCAAACUGGGGAUUAAAAUAGCACUAACACCAUCUACUUUGGGACACCGUACUGAAGUGAAGCAGUCAUACAACGAGCCAAAUAUUUCUGGCUUAAGAGAAAAUAUUUUGAUUCACAAAGAUGC
Long non-coding RNA from Cygnus olor (mute swan), 5620 nucleotides. RefSeq lists it as uncharacterized. Lineage: Eukaryota; Metazoa; Chordata; Aves; Anseriformes; Anatidae. The transcript is spliced from 5 exons. The record is from RefSeq and is a predicted model, not a curated record.